This 479-nucleotide ribosomal RNA is filed under the name uncultured bacterium. Its description in RNAcentral is "bacterial SSU rRNA". It matches the Rfam family "Bacterial small subunit ribosomal RNA", at positions 30 to 504 of the family's 1533-position model. The record is from RNAcentral.
UGAACGCUAGCGGCAGGCUUAAUACAUGCAAGUCGAGGGGUAACAGGGAAGCUUGCUUCCGCUGACGACCGGCGCACGGGUGCGUAACGCGUAUGCAACCUACCUCUAACUGGGGAAUAGCCCCGAGAAAUCGGGAUUAAUACCUCAUAACAUUUAUCAUUCGCAUGUUUGAUAAAUUAAAGUUUCGACGGUUAGAGAUGGGCAUGCGUGACAUUAGUUAGUUGGUGAGGUAACGGCUCACCAAGACAGCGAUGUCUAGGGGUUCUGAGAGGAUUUUCCCCCACACUGGUACUGAGACACGGACCAGACUCCUACGGGAGGCAGCAGUAAGGAAUAUUGGUCAAUGGACGAAAGUCUGAACCAGCCAUGCCGCGUGCAGGAUGACGGCCCUACGGGUUGUAAACUGCUUUUGUAUAGGAAGAAACCUCACUACGUGUAGUGGGCUGACGGUACUAUACGAAUAAGCACCGGCUAACUCC